AACUUUUGGCAAUGGAUCUCUUGGCUCUCGCAUCGAUGAAGAACGCAGCGAAAUGCGAUAAGUAAUGUGAAUUGCAGAAUUCAGGGAAUCAUCGAAGCUUUGAACGCAUCUUGCGCUCCGUGGUAUUCCGAGGAGCAUGCCUGUUUGAGUGUCAUUUAAACUCUCAAACCACGUCGUUCGUUCGAUGUGGCGGUGGAUGGUGGUGGGUCGCAGGCUUUUCUUCUGACGGCGUCUGCCUGCAUGAAAUAAAUUAGUGGCGACUGAGGUGGCCAGCGCUAGUUGUGAUAAACAAUAUCAUCGAUGCAUUACGCAUGAAACAGCUUGAGCCGCUUAAACCGAAAACAGUUCUUGACAAACUGGACCCCCCAUCGGGUAGGAAUACCCGCUGUCCUUAGGCAAAUCAUUAAGCGGAAGCU
This 416-nucleotide unclassified non-coding RNA is filed under the name uncultured Inocybe. Its description in RNAcentral is "sequence contains ITS2". The stretch from base 1 to 154 matches the Rfam family "5.8S ribosomal RNA". The record is from RNAcentral. Lineage: Eukaryota; Fungi; Basidiomycota; Agaricomycetes; Agaricales; Cortinariaceae.